This 494-nucleotide ribosomal RNA is filed under the name uncultured bacterium. RNAcentral's name for it is "partial 16S ribosomal RNA". It matches the Rfam family "Bacterial small subunit ribosomal RNA", at positions 28 to 507 of the family's 1533-position model. The record is from RNAcentral.
GACGGACGCUGGCGGCGUGCUUAACACAUGCAAGUCGAGCGGAAAGGCCUGCUUUCCCUUGUGGAUUGCGGGUACUCGAGUGGCGAACGGGUGAGUAACACGUGAGUGAUCUGCCCCCAACUUGGGUAUAAGCCUGGGAAACUGGGUCUAAUUCCCGAUAGGACUGCAGGGUGGUGCCUGUGGUGGAAAACGAUUUUCUAGUGGUUGGGGAUGAGCUCGCGGCCUAUCAGCUUGUUGGUGGGGUAAUGGCCUACCAAGGCGGCGACGGGUAGCCGGCCUGAGAGGGUGGACGGCCACAUUGGGACUGAGAUACGGCCCAGACUCCUACGGGAGGCAGCAGUGGGGAAUAUUGCACAAUGGGCGGAAGCCUGAUGCAGCGACGCCGCGUGGGGGAUGACGGCCUUCGGGUUGUAAACUCCUUUCGACCGCGAGGAAGCCACCUGGUUGGAAGGGUGGUGACGGUAGUGGUAGAAGAAGCACCGGCUAACUACGUG